UGGGGAAUUUUGGACAAUGGGCGAAAGCCUGAUCCAGCGAUGCCGCGUGUGUGAAGAAGGCCUUCGGGUUGUAAAGCACUUUUGUCCGGAAAGAAAUCCUCUGGGUUAAUACCUCGGGGGGAUGACGGUACCGGAAGAAUAAGCACCGGCUAACUACGUGCCAGCAGCCGCGGUAAUACGUAGGGUGCAAGCGUUAAUCGGAAUUACUGGGCGUAAAGCGUGCGCAGGCGGUUUUUGUAAGACGGAUGUGAAAUCCCCGGGGCUUAACCUGGGAACUGCAUUCGUGACUGCAAGGCUAGAGUAUGGCAGAGGGGGGUAGAAUUCCACGUGUAGCAGUGAAAUGCGUAGAGAUGUGGAGGAAUACCGAUGGCGAAGGCAGCCCCCUGGGCCAAUACUGACGCUCAUGCACGAAAAGCGUGGGGAGCAAAACAGGAUUAGAUACCCUGGUAGUCCACGCCCUAAACGAUGUCAACUAGUUGUUGGGGAUUCAUUUCCUUAGUAACGUAGCUAACGCGUGAAGUUGACCGCCUGGGGAGUACGGUCGCAAGAUUAAAACUCAAAGGAAUUGACGGGGUCAUAGCUGUUU
This 586-nucleotide ribosomal RNA is filed under the name uncultured bacterium. RNAcentral describes it as "partial 16S ribosomal RNA". It matches the Rfam family "Bacterial small subunit ribosomal RNA", at positions 355 to 935 of the family's 1533-position model. The record is from RNAcentral.